This 118-nucleotide ribosomal RNA is filed under the name Cephalotus follicularis. The record is from RNAcentral. Lineage: Eukaryota; Viridiplantae; Streptophyta; Magnoliopsida; Oxalidales; Cephalotaceae.
GGGUGCGAUCAUACUAGCACUCAUGUACCGGAUCCCAUCAGAACUCUGAAGUUAAGCGUGCUUGAGCAAGAGUCGUAUUAAGGCAGGAUUUGUUAUAGAACUUCCGCAGACACAUGCA